CGAUAUUUGAACGGAGAAACGAAGAAUCAAUUUUUUUCAUUAAUUUUUGUACAAUUUAUCUGUAAUAAUAAAACGAUACAUUGUAUAUUAAGUGUAUUACCGUUAUAUAAAUGAUUCUUUAAAGCAUUUAUUUUAUUUUACUAUUUUCUUUUCUGCUUUUGAUAGUUACGGUGUUUCACUAUAACAUCAGUGGCGCAUAAAUCCAUUUGUGUUACCCGUGCAAUUUAGUGGGUGGGCGGGUAUAAUGGUAGAUGAGAUGA
This is a non-coding RNA of Cinara cedri, 260 nucleotides long. The record is from the annotation of a GenBank genome assembly. NCBI's taxonomy places the organism in Eukaryota, Metazoa, Arthropoda, Insecta, Hemiptera, Aphididae.